AAUUAAAACAGAAAGUUUUAAUUGUCAAAAUAGUAAAAUAUAUUUAGCAAAUAAAACAAAAUUUAAUUCGGAUGGUGACAGUGGAGUGGUCUUAUAAUAAUCUGGAUGUCUGCAAUUUUUGUUCCUGUUCACCGUUUUUGAUGCAUUUUCCCAGAACUCCUGUAAAAGAACUGGUUUUGCGAUGGAAAAAGUUCAUGUCAAUAUAUUGAAUUCAAACAGUUUCAUUUGUUUUUGCGUCUACAAAACCAUAGGUCACGCACCCACAUAUCGACUCGGAAUCUCUUUGAAUCGUUCGCCCACCGUCUGUACAUGUAAAUAUUCUAAUCAAGCUACGGAUCGCAAUUCUGAAGGCAACUUAAUUUGAGAUUCGAAGAAUACUGUUAUGGAUAAUCCGCGGAGAUUUUCAAGCAGAUAUACACCUAAAUUUCAUAUGUAAAUAUAUUCCUAAAAUAAGAUAAAAUUAAUUGUUUAAAGGAAAAUAAUACAA
Molecule: long non-coding RNA, 487 nt
Organism: Calliphora vicina (urban bluebottle blowfly)
Lineage: Eukaryota; Metazoa; Arthropoda; Insecta; Diptera; Calliphoridae
Exons: 3
Source: RefSeq, a predicted model, not a curated record